UAUUAAUUUGUUAUUUAUUUAAUAUGUUUAUUUUUUUUCUGUAAGAAAGAUUUUUUUUUUUAUUAAUUUUUUUUGAAAAAAUUUUUUUAAUUAUAGUAAAUGGUACUGUGAAGGAUUUAAUUUUUUAGAGAGAAAGCAUAGUUGAUUUUUAGUACCUUUAGUAUCAGGGUUUAUUAAGUUGGGGUCAAAUAAUUGGUUGUCUCGAAUUUAAAAGAGCUAAAAUAAUAUAUUUAUUACUGUGGAAAAAGUAUUUAUAAUAUUAUUAUAGUAAUGAAACGUUAGUCGUUUUUAAAUAUAUCUAGUUUUCUGAGAAAUAAAUUUAAUUUAUUUAUUUUUUAUUAUAAUUAUAAUUUUUUAUUUUAUGAUUAAAAUAGAAUAUUUUUAUAGGGAUAAGCUUAUAAAAGGAUUUUCAUAAUUAAGUUGUCACUGAUUAAUUUAUAGGAUUAGAAUUUUUCAUUAUUUUUAGUAUGUUAUAGUUAAUUAAUCUAGUAGUGUGAUUUAAAGUUUAUUUGAAUUUUUUAUCAGAAUUUCUUAAAUAAUGAAGAAUUAUGAGUAAUAAUGAUAAAAUUAGUAUAAUUUUUUGUAAAAUUAAUUUUUAUUUACUAGGUUAGUUUAAGGAACUCGGCAAUUGAAUUUUCACCUGUUUAUUAAAAACAUGGCUUUUUGAUUAUAAUUUAAGGUCGGACCUGCCCAAUGAGGAUUUUAAUGGCCGCAGUAUUUUGACUGUGCAAAGGUAGCAUAAUCAUUAGUUUCUUAAUUAGAAGCUGGAAUGAAUGGUUUAAUGAGAAAUUAACUGUCUCUGAUUAAAUGAAUUAUAAUUUGAAUUUUAAGUGAGAAUGCUUAAAUUUUUUAAAAAGACGAGAAGACCCUAUAGAGUUUUAUUUUCUAAGUUUUUAUUGGUUUUGAAGUUUUCUUUUUCUUAUUUGCUUGGAAAAUUUUGUUGGGGUGAUAGGAAAAUUGAUUUAACUUUUUUUUUGUUUUUACACUGAUUAGUGAAUUGUUGAUCCUGAAUUUUGGAUUAAAAGAUUAAAUUACCUUAGGGAUAACAGCGUAAUUUUUUUUGAAAGUUCACAUUUACAGAAAAGUUUGCGACCUCGAUGUUGGAUUAAAAUUAAUUUUCGGUGUAGAAGCUGAAAUAUUGGGUCUGUUCGACCUUUGAAAUUUUACAUGAUCUGAGUUUAAACCGGCGUGAGCCAGGUUGGUUUCUAUCUUUUAUUUGUGUUAAUGUUCUAGUACGAAAGGACCGAAUGUUAAAAUUAUAUUUUAGAGUUUGAAUAAAGUUA
This 1283-nucleotide ribosomal RNA is filed under the name Tribolium castaneum (red flour beetle). Its description in RNAcentral is "16S ribosomal RNA". The stretch from base 851 to 1215 matches the Rfam family "Archaeal large subunit ribosomal RNA", at positions 2150 to 2716 of the family's 2987-position model. Lineage: Eukaryota; Metazoa; Arthropoda; Insecta; Coleoptera; Tenebrionidae. The record is from RNAcentral.